RNAcentral lists this ribosomal RNA (2960 nucleotides) under Myxococcales bacterium. Its description in RNAcentral is "23S ribosomal RNA". It matches the Rfam family "Bacterial large subunit ribosomal RNA". Lineage: Bacteria; Pseudomonadati; Myxococcota; Myxococcia; Myxococcales. The record is from RNAcentral.
GGUCAAGCUAGUAAGGGCACACGGUGGAUGCCUUGGUGUCAGGAGGCGAUGAAGGACGUGGCUAGCUGCGAUAAGCCUCGGGGAGCCGCAAGCAGGCGUUGAUCCGGGGAUUUCCGAAUGGGGAAACCCAAUGGGAGUCACAUCCCAUUAUCCUUAGGCUGAAUACAUAGGCCCUAGGAAGCGAACGCGGGGAACUGAACCAUCUAAGUACCCGUAGGAGUAGAAAUCAAUUGAGAUUCCCUCAGUAGUGGCGAGCGAACGGGGAACAGCCUAAACCGGACCAAUUUGGUUCCGGGGUUGUAGGGCCGUUAAUGUGAGAGUCCGAGUUUUAGCUGAACUGUCUGGAAAGUCAGGCCACAGCGGGUGAUAGCCCCGUAAGCGAAAAGACGGAGACCUCUAUACGGUACCUGAGUACUGCGAGGCUCGAGAAACCUUGCAGGAAUCUGGGAGGACCAUCUUCCAAGGCUAAAUACUACCUGACGACCGAUAGUGGACUAGUACCAUGAGGGAAAGGUGAAAAGAACCCCGGCUAGGGGAGUGAAAAGAUUCUGAAACCGUGUGUCUACAAGCCGUUGGAGCACUAUGAUCUUCGGAUAAUGUGCGACAGCGUACCUUUUGCAUAAUGGGCCUGCGAGUUAUGUUCGGUGGCAAGGUUAAGCCGUUAGGCGUAGCCGUAGCGAAAGCAAGUCUGAAAUGGGCGCCAUAGUCGCCGGCCAUAGACCCGAAACCGGGUGAUCUAUCCAUGGCCAGGAUGAAGCGAGGGUAAUACCUCGUGGAGGUCCGAACUCACUGAAGUUGAAAAUUCAGGGGAUGAGCUGUGGAUCGGAGUGAAAGGCUAAUCAAACUCGGUGAUAGCUGGUUCUCGCCGAAACCUAUUUAGGUAGGUCCUCAGGAAACUCUGUAGUGGAGGUAGAGCACUAGAUGGGCUAGGGGCCUUACCGGGCUACCAAACCCAACGAAACUCCGAAUGCCAUUACAUCUAUCCUGGGAGCCAGGCUACGGGAGCUAAGUUCCGUGGCCGAGAGGGAAAGAGCCCAGAUCGCCAGCUAAGGUCCCUAAAUUCACACUAAGUGGUAAAGGAUGUGGGAACGCUUAGACAACCAGGAGGUUGGCUUAGAAGCAGCCAUCUUUUAAAGAAAGCGUAAUAGCUCACUGGUCAAGCGAGCCUGCGCCGAAAAUGUAACGGGGCUUAAGUGUGGUACCGAAGCUGCGGGUUCGAGAAAUCGAGCGGUAGGCGAGCAUUCCAAGGGCUGAGAAGGUCGACCGUAAGGACGGCUGGAGCGCUUGGAAGAGAUAAUGCAGGCUUGAGUAGCGAUAAAACGGGUGAAAAACCCGUUCGCCGUAAGCCCAAGGGUUCCUGGGUAAAGUUAAUCUUCCCAGGGUUAGUCGGAACCUAAGGCGAGGCUGAAAAGCGUAGCUGAUGGCAAUCAGGUUAAUAUUCCUGAACCGGCGCGGAUGAUUUCUUCAGGAGGGACGGAGAAGGGUAGGCCAGCCACAUAAUGGAUAGUGGUUCAAGCCGGUAGGAGGCUCCCAUAGGACCCGACAGGGACAAACGUGGGGGCGUUAACUCCGAGAGGUGAUGAGGAGAGCGCUUUGCGCUCACGAACUGGUUGAUCCCAUGCUUCCAAGAAAAGCUCCGGAAGAGUUAAUCGCUGUGCUGUCCGUACCGCAAACCAACUCAGGUGGGCGGGAUGAAUAUUCCAAGGCGCUUGAGAGAACCCAUCCUAAGGAACUCGGCAAAAUACUACCGUAACUUCGGGAGAAGGUAGGCCGGCGUCCGUGAAAGGCAUACGCCUGGAGCGGAAGUUGGUUGCAGAGAAUCGGGGGUAGCGACUGUUUACCAAAAACACAGGACUCUGCGAAGUCGGAAGACGACGUAUAGGGUCUGACGCCUGCCCGGUGCUGGAAGGUUAAGGGGAGAUGUCAGAGCAAUCGAAGCAUCGAACCGAAGCCCCAGUAAACGGCGGCCGUAACUAUAACGGUCCUAAGGUAGCGAAAUUCCUUGUCGGGUAAGUUCCGACCUGCACGAAUGGCGUAACGACUUCCCCACUGUCUCGGGAUGGGACUCAGUGAAGUAGCACUAGGGGUGAAGAUACCCUUUACCUGCGGCAAGACGGAAAGACCCCAUGAACCUUUACUGUAGCUUGGCACUGACUUUCGGGCUUAAUUGCGUAGGAUAGGUGGGAGGCUUUGAGACAGGGGUUUCGGCCCUUGUGGAGCCAUUGGUGAAAUACCACCCUGUUAAGUCUGGAAUUCUAACCAUCACCCAUUAUCUGGGUGUGGGACAAUGCCUGGUGGGCAGUUUGACUGGGGCGGUCGCCUCCCAAAAAGUAACGGAGGCGCGCGAAGGUUCCCUCAGACUGAUUGGAAACCAGUCGACGAGUGUAAUGGCACAAGGGAGCUUGACUGCGAGACAAACAAGUCAAGCAGAUGCGAAAGCAGGUCAUAGUGAUCCGGUGGUCCCGCAUGGAAGGGCCAUCGCUCAUCGGAUAAAAGGUACUCUGGGGAUAACAGGCUUAUCACGCCCAAGAGUUCACAUCGACGGCGUGGUUUGGCACCUCGAUGUCGGCUCAUCGCAUCCUGGGGCUGAAGUAGGUCCCAAGGGUUUGGCUGUUCGCCAAUUAAAGCGGUACGCGAGCUGGGUUCAAAACGUCGUGAGACAGUUUGGUCCCUAUCUGCCGUGGGCGCAGGAUUCUUGAGAGGCCCUGCCCGUAGUACGAGAGGACCCGGGUGGACGGACCGCUGGUGAUCCGGUUGUUUCGCCAGAAGCAUCGCCGGGUAGCUAUGUUCGGAACGGAUAACCGCUGAAAGCAUCUAAGCGGGAAGCCGACCUCAAGAUAAGGAAUCCCGGACGCAAGUCCCUAAAGACCCCUCGAAGACGACGAGGUUGAUAGGCCGGGUGUGGAAGCGCUGCAAAGCGCGGAGCUGACCGGUACUAAUUGGUCGUGAGGCUUGACCGC